UUAUCCGGCCCACAUGCUCCACGGGGACGAUGUUAUCUCACGCGCCGCCUUCCCUGAUAAAACCCUUCCUCUCCCGCCCCUUCACUGGCAUAAUCACUGCUGCCACUCGUCUGUGCUCCACUGCUCGACUGAACCCUCCCGCUGGUCUCUGCGGCCUCGGUUCUCGCCCAUUUGCAGUUUGCGCAGCCGCUUCAAUGGCGGAUUCCAGCUCCACCACGAGUGGUUCCUCCCCGAAGCACGUCGCCGGAACCUGGUACUCCGUGCCUGAGCUCCGCCUCCGCGAUCAUCGCUUCACCGUCCCCCUGGAUUACUCUCUCGCCGCGUCUCCGAAGAUCACCGUCUUCGCUCGCGAAGUUGUUUCGGUUGGGAAGGAAGAGCAACAUUUGCCAUACCUGUUAUAUCUACAAGGUGGACCGGGGUUUGAGUGCAUGCGACCAACUGAAUCCAGCGGAUGGAUACACAGAGUUUGUGAAGAGUUUCGACUGAUAUUGAUGGACCAGCGAGGAACAGGCCUGUCAACUCCUUUGACGCCGUCCUCUAUGUCACAGUUUAAAUCUGCAAAGGCUUUGGCUGAUUAUUUGGUGCAUUUUCGGGCUGAUAAUAUUGUGAAUGAUGCUGAGUUUAUUCGAGUUCACCUUGUUCCUGAUACCGGACCUUGGACAGUUCUGGGCCAGAGCUACGGCGGUUUCUGUGCAGUGACAUAUCUAAGCUUUGCUCCCCAAGGACUAAAGCAAGUCCUUUUAACUGGCGGAAUCCCUCCAAUUGGAAAUGGUUGCACUGCAGAUGCUGUCUACCGAGCAUGCCGUGAGCAACUCAUUCUUCAAAAUGAGAAGUUCUAUAAGAGGUAUCCUCAGGACAUUGAAGUUGUUCACGAGGUUGUCAAGUUUUUGGCGGAAUCUGAAGGUGGAGGGGUGUCCCUUCCAUCUGGCGGUUUCCUAACACCGAGGGGAUUACAAACUCUUGGCCUUUCUGGUUUAGGAUCCAGUACUGGUUUUGAGCGCUUACACUAUAUGUUUGAGAGGGUCUGGGAUCCUCCACUAGUUCCAGGAGCACCAAAACAGAUCAGUUACUACUUCUUAAAAUCUUUUGAGAGUUGGUCGAGUUUGGAUACGAAUCCCCUCUAUGCUCUCAUGCACGAGUCCAUAUAUUGCCAGGGUGACGCAUCAAGGUGGUCCGCCGAAAGAAUGAGAGAUGAAGAUGAAACCAAGUUUGAUGCACUUAAGGCUGCAAAAGAAGGUCGCCCUGUGGUCUUUACGGGAGAGAUGAUUUUCCCAUGGAUGUUUGAUGAAAUCCACGCCCUGAAGCCAUUCAAGGAAGCUGCUAAUAUCUUAGCCGAGAAAAAGGACUGGCCUCCACUGUACGACAAGAAAUCACUGAACGACAACAAGGUUCCUGUUGCAGCCGCUGUUUAUUACGAAGAUAUGUAUGUCAAUUUUAAGCUGGCAAUGGAGACGGCUUCCCAGAUAGCUGGGAUUAGGCUAUGGAUAUCAAACGAGUACAUGCAUUCUGGCCUGCGUGAUAAUGGGAGCCGGGUUUUAGACCAGUUGUCGGGUAUGUUGAAUGGAAAGAAGCCUUUGUUCUGAUCCCCAAGGCAGUUUCGUCCGUUGAGCUUCCUCCUCUCGUGGUUCUCAUUGCCUGCUCCUGUAUUGUUAUUGACUGAGCCUGGGUCUUGCGAUUUCAGUUGAGGUCCGAAUAUUUUUGGACCUGUCUGGCUUUUCUUGGGCCUCACUUUUAUGAGGCAUGAAGCUUCUUACCGAAAUCCAAGCAGUUCGGAUCCCAGGGAGUACUCGGAAUAAUUUGGAGAGGUCCAGUCAAUCUAUUCUGAACUGAACUUGGUCCAGACGGAGAGUCUAUAACACCUGUUUUAGAGAAUUCAAAACUGAACUUAGUUAUGCAGAACUGAAAUAUUUCGGUUUGGUUCAAAUUUGGUCCGAUCGAUUUGGGUUUUCACAUGACCCCAAACCACCAAAUGUAGUAUUUUAAGGUA
Molecule: non-coding RNA, 1987 nt
Organism: Punica granatum (pomegranate)
Lineage: Eukaryota; Viridiplantae; Streptophyta; Magnoliopsida; Myrtales; Lythraceae
Source: RefSeq, a predicted model, not a curated record